GGUGGGUGGGGCUGGGUUCCCUCCCUGUUGGUUGUUUGGCCUGAGGCAACUCAACACUGGAGCCUACCUGGCUCUUUGGUGGGGCUAAUGGCAGACUCUCAGAGGGCUCACGCCAAGGAGUACUUCCCAAAGCUUCUGUUGCUGGUGUCCCUGUCCUCAUGGUGAGCCACAGCCACCCCCUGCCUCUGCAGGAGGCCCUCCAACACUAGCCGGAAUUGGAUAAAGGUGAGAAAUGAAAGACAUGUCAAGCAUGCUGUUCUAGAAGGACGUGUUCAGAUGUGCCUGGGACCUUGCCCUGCGUAAUGCUUCAGGACUCAACAAGGCAGGCCCAGUGAUCUGUGAAUCAUCUUUAUCUUCUGAUAAAGAGGAACAGGUUUCUCUAUGUUCAUUAAACAAAAGGGAAUGACCAAUAGCAGGAACUUCUUCACCAAGUCCUGGACACAGCACCUGCUUUUCCAAGUCAGAUACAAAGCCCAAACAUUUCCACUCUAAACAAUAUGCAGCUUUGAAGGACUGUGGCAGACCAGAAUGGGGACAAGUCACUGCAGUGGCUCACCAUUAAUAGCAGCUUGCAGCACCCAGAGGAGGUAUGCAGAACCAGCCUUCUCUUAUAAACAAAGGAACGUUUACAGUUAUGUCAUUCUGUGCUUAUGACCGAUUCCUUGAAAUCUAGUCCCUCAUAUCCUGUCAAGAAUCUUGGACUAUGAUCUCUGAUGGUAUGCAUAUCAUGGAAUAAGCAGUUUACAACCUUGGAAUCCUAAGUUGCCCUUUCCCCACCAUCCACUCUGACGGCUCCUGUUUAUAACUGAAGUCUGCCCUCUGCUGGUCGAGGGCAGCCCAGACUAACACCACAGAGCCGCUGAGGUUUCUUCUAAAAUCAUCUCUUCUCCAGGAGCAUUUUGGAAAUUGCUACAAUUUAUUUAGCUAUAGAAAUACGACGAAAUGACCUCUUCUGCAGAGCAUUCCUCUUUUAUUUUUAUUUUUUGAUGCUUGUAGGUUUUUUCCUUUUAUUCAACAGUAGCAGAACUGGACCAGUUUUGGUUAUAUUUAUAAGCCACUUUCAUUUGUGAUAAAUAACCAUUAUUUGUAUUUAUGCAGUGCCUGCCCAGGCCCGUCUGCUUAUAUUGACUCAUGAAUCACUAAAAUGCUUUCCUGUGGUAGAAGCGGAAAAGGGCUGUUCGAGAUAGGAGAUGGUGCAAUUUAUGGGCCGUUAACUGGCCAGUAGUUUUCCAGAAGUGGUUUGUAGACUGAGUGGUGAGUAAAGAAAGACCCAGAGACUGAUCCUCCUCACAUUCUGUAGGGUAUCCAUUUGCCCUGUUAGAAGGCUGCAGGGCAUCAGGCAUUUGGGGAUCCCAAGCAGACCUGGCAAUCCUUUCUUCCUAUUCGUUCCACAUGGGCACUGUGGCCAGGAAAGCAGGUGCAGGAGGAUGGGAAAGGUGAGUGGGGAAGGAAGACAGAGCCCGGGGAGACCAUGAGACAGUGUGAGCAAAAGUCUGAACCAGUGAUAAGAGGAAAGGAAAAGCUAGGGGAGGGAAGGUGGAUAAGAGAAAGGAACAGUGGAUAAGGACAGAACAGGGGACUAAAGAAGUGACUCCAUUUUUCUGAGGGCUAUGAUCUGCUUUCUGCAAUGCAGUUAACUGUAAAAAUCUCUUCAGUUUUCAGUUAACAAAGGAAGGGAAUCCUGUCUGAUAUUCCAGAGUCCUUGAAAACAACCCUAUGCCUCUGACCUAAUGUUUUAGGAACAUUUAUACUUUCUGCCUUGAGAGAAACGCAGCACUUUUAUGAAAGAAAACUUAAUUUUUAGAGAGAUGGUUUGGGUUUCUAACCUCUGAGGAGGGGGAGGGGGAGGAACGAGGGCUCCUUAUUAUGAGCAUACACCAUAGCCAGAGGCCUGCACAUCUGUCCCAUUCCCCAACUACUUGAUCCUCAAGUUCAGCCAGAGUGGGGGCUCCACUGCCCACCCCACGGUCACCCUCACCCCAAGGGUCUGAUUACCCCUGUCAGUCUGCUUGGGGCUGCAGAGCCCCGGGCUCGGGGUGUAACAGAGAUCCCCAUGUCCUGUUCUUUCUCUUCCCCUCCGUUUCCCUCUUGCCUCCUCCCUCACCUCCUUCCCUGGUCCUUUGGACUCAAGUUCUCUCCUCCCACAUUGCCCCUCUCCAGACUUUGUGACUCAGAACUUAAGCGCUUGAGGAAAGACAGGGCUCAGUGUAUUCCUAUGAGUGGGUGCUGAUGCCCCUUUAAAAUCCACCUGGGAGAGAGAGGAGAGAGAACCAGAUCUUCUGCCUUUCCUCCCAGAGAUAAAGGUUAUUCUUAGCAGUAAAUAGGUUUGGUAUUUGGCGAGUGUUGUGUUUCUCUCCUUCCUGUCCCAGGGGCUUUGCACAUAGCAAUUCCUCUUCUUCAUGCAGGGAAGACAAACGGGGAGAAAGAGAAGAAAAAAUAGAGAGAGGGAGGCCGUCACUGUUUCCCUAGUAGGCUCUUCUCAGGACUUUGGAAGGCCGAUCCCGUUGGUUCUGUUGGAAAGCAGGGGAGUGCCCUCACCCCCAAACCCAGAAGGCCAGUUUAAUUCUAGCAGUCACUUUUGAGGCGAGAAGGCUAACGGCCAAAUGAACUCCCUUCAGGCCUUUCCACAGCACUUUGUAUGUAGCACGGGUUCGAUAAAUGUUUGCUCAGCCAGCCUCCCGCUUGCACCCUUGUUAGUAAGGGUCUCCCAGGACUGCCCUCACUGGGUGUUAGGACGGUAGCAGUCAGUUAGGGAAUUCAAACCCCAGCAUUAGACAGCAGACUCUGGAGAACCAAGAACUUGAGAAAUUUUUUAAAUUUAAAAAAAAAAAAAAAAGUGUUAAAAAGGUAAAAAAAAAAAAAAGACAAAAUGGCGGGCAAACCUCGAAAAGACUUACGUAAUGCUAUUCCACUUUGGAGCCGGAUGGUGAGAUUUUGCAGAGCCGCCAGCAGGGGGAGCUCGGGCAGUGUGUCAGAAUGCCAGCGCCCAGGUUGCCAGGAGCCAAAACCUCCCGAUAAACAAAACAGUGAACCUUUGUGGUUUCUCUUGGGUUCUUAAUUCUGGGACGCUCAAUCCAAGACGGCCUGAUUUUCAUCCUAGGGGACCCAGCUAGCUUCUCACAGAACACUAGCUGGGUCCUGGAAUCUUAAUAGAUCUCUCCCUCUUUUUUCUCCCUCCCAAAUUGCUUUCUCUCUGUCCUCCUCUAUUUCUAAUCCCUUGUCUCAAACUCUCUCAGUAUCUCUUUGUGUGUAUCUCCUUCUGUAAUUCCCAUUUCCUCUGAAUAUGUGUUUCUGCCUAUGCUUCUUUCUUGUUUUUUCUCUAUCAUUCUAGGCCCACUAGUAAAUGUUAAUGAAAAAUAAAUGGAGAUGAAACUACUGCAGACUGAGCUCUGAAAGAUUUUAAGAUCUGGCAAAAACUAACACUUUGAAUAAAAUUUAAAAUAUGCUAUACAGCAAAAGUGGCUAAUCCUGCCAGCACUUACAGUUCAGUCAUGUCUUCUGUGUAUAUCCUCCGGUGUUUGUCUCUAGGCCUGCUGCCCUUGCCAUCCUAUAAUUCUCUGUUGUCCAUUUGCUGUUGCCAAGCUGCUGCCCACCUCCCCCAAACCAUUGACCUCCAGGGUUCAUCUCCCUCUCUGACCAGUCCAACAAGGUGUUUCAGGUCCAGAAUAGUUGUACCUCUAGUGACACAGUUUUUUGCUUCUUAAGUAAGAUCCAGCCCAGAACACACUGGAACUCUUGGGAUUUGGGGUCGAGGGGCUCCAGGUGAGAAACUGGUGAGGAGCUCAGCCUUGCGCUCUGCCUGAAACCUCUUGUCCUCCAAUAUCAGGUGCUCCAGCUGGACCUGGUCUACUCUGCCAGAGUAUCUUUGCUCAUGGUGACUUUCUCUCGGGGAUCUUACUCAUUGUCUUUCUUUUUCUCCAGACUGACACCAGGGGACCUCUAGCUUAUCACACAGUCUGUAUAUAUCUGACCCCUUUGGGGGACAAAGUUUAAAUUCUUUUUCUGGCGUUUUGGGCACUGAGGACUCAAGAAAUGCAACUGAGUAUGUGUUUUAAGUUUCCAGAAUAUCCCAUGACAGUCAAGAAGCACCCCUAGCAUCUUACAAAAGGAUGCUUUGCCUGGACCCCACAGAGGCCAAAUGAGGGUCCUGAGCAUGGACUGUAUACAGAUGGCUCUGGGCAAUGCCACUCAGCAGGCACUGUCUCAGUUCCAGCCCCAGGUACUGUGACUACUGUGGUGGUGGUGGUGAAGUAUCCUCCUCAUUUCUACAUUUCGUGCUUACACCCUCAUUAGGAUGAGUCUCCCAGGACCCAUCCUAUGUCCAGAUUUAUCCUGUCCUAUCCAAGUUCUCAUUAUUUUUCAGACCCUAAUUAUGUGUAUCCCUGAGAGGCAGAUUCUAACAUGAGAUCAGGUAGGACAUGAGACUCUUUAAUCUUAGCACUUUAACUUUCUUUCAGCCUCCUGUAGCCAAGGAAGGUAGUGGUGGUAUGAUCUGAUCACCCCUCUUCCUGCCCUGCUCAAUACUUGGUAACCAUUAUCAUUUCCUAGUUCCAGAGCCUGUUUGGACGAAGUUGAAGACCAAAGUAGGGAGUAGGGGGGCAGACAGGCAAUACAAUCCAACAUUUAAAGGCACUGACGACUUGCUUGCCCUUGCUGGGCCCUGACCACACAGAGAGGCUGAACAAGACAUAGGCCUUGUCCUUAGAAAGUGAAUGCUUCAAUUGGACUGACGCACUAUGUCUCUGAAUAAGAAUAAAAAUGAAACUGCUGCAGAAAAACCCAGUGCUGCAAAGUGCUAACAUCAUCAGGCAGGUUGCCUCUGCAGUGCGAUCCAUAAUCUCUGUGACUUCCAGAGCCAAAAGAGUUGUUAUAUGACUUUCUAAAUUAAGCUUUUGCAUUACUUUGGAAACUUACAAAGCAUUCCUUCCCACAGACACUGUUCCCAAAUUAAACACUUUGUGCUUGUGCAGCUGUUCAAAUGUUAGUGAAUUGAAGAUGGAAAGGUUCUUAGGAAGGGAAGAGAGGUGGGUGCCUAGAAAGGAGAGGAGAGCCCUGCGGGGGAGUUUUUUUUGUUUGUUUUUGUAGGGGGUGGAAUUGAAGAGCUGGGGGUCAGAUAUCAGGGAUUAUAGAACAGUUGAAGAAAAUUAUAAUCAAGUUAGUCAGCGCAUAAAAUGUUUUUUAAAUUAUUAGGUCUAGAUAAGUGUAGGUUAAGGGGGGCGCAUUAUGAUCAAGUAUUUAAAAGCAUGCUUUUUUUUUUUACAUCUUUAUUGGAGUAUAAUUGCUUUACAAUGGUGUGUUAGUUUCUGCUGUAUAACAAAGUGAAUCAGUUAUACAUAUACAUAUGUUCCCAUAUCUCUUCCCUCCCUCCCAGUCUCCCUAUCCCACCGCUCCAGGCGGUCACAAAGCACCGAGCUGAUCUCCCUGUGCUAUGCAGCUGCUUCCCACUAGCUAUCUACCUUACGUUUGGUAGUGUAUACAUGUCCAUGCCUCUCUCUCGCUUUGUCACAGCUUAUCCUUCCCCCUCCCCAUAUCCUCAAGUCCAUUCUCUAGUAGGUCUGUGUCUUUAUUCCUGUCUUACCCCUAGGUUCUUCAUGACAUUUUUUUUUCUUAAAUUCCAUAUAUAUGUAUUAGCAUGCGGUAUUUGUCUUUCUCUUUCUGACUUACUUCACUCUGUAUGACAGACUCUAGGUCUAUCCACCUCAUUACAAAUAGCUCAAUUUCAUUUCUUUUUAUGGUUGAGUAAUAUUCCAUUGUAUAUAUGUGCCACAUUUUCUUUAUCCAUUCAUCUGAUGAUGGACACUUAGGUUGUUUCCAUCUCCAGGCUAUUGUAAAUAGAGCUGCAAUGAACAUUUUGGUACAUGACUCUUUUUGAAUUAUGGUUUUCUCAGGGUAUAUGCCCAGUAGUGGGAUUGCUGGGUCAUAUGGUAGUUCUAUUUGUAGUUUUUUAAGGAACCUCCAUACUGUUCUCCACAGUGGCUGUAUCAAUUUACAUUCCCACCAACAGUGCAAGAGGGUUCCCUUUUCUCCACACCCUCUCCAGCAUUUAUUGUUUCUAGAGUUUUUGA
Long non-coding RNA from Orcinus orca (killer whale), 6065 nucleotides. RefSeq lists it as uncharacterized. Lineage: Eukaryota; Metazoa; Chordata; Mammalia; Artiodactyla; Delphinidae. The transcript has 3 exons. The record is from RefSeq and is a predicted model, not a curated record.